UACGUAGGGUGCGAGCGUUAAUCGGAAUUACUGGGCGUAAAGCGUGCGCAGGCGGUUCGUUGUGUCCGUCGUGAAAGCCCCGGGCUUAACCUGGGAACUGCGAUGGAAACUAGCGAGCUGGAGUAUGGCAGAGGGGGGUGGAAUUCCGCGUGUAGCAGUGAAAUGCGUAGAGAUGCGGAGGAACACCGAUGGCGAAGGCAGCCCCCUGGGCUAACACUGACGCUCAGGCACGAAAGCGUGGGGAGCAAACAGG
This 253-nucleotide ribosomal RNA is filed under the name uncultured bacterium. Its description in RNAcentral is "partial 16S ribosomal RNA". It matches the Rfam family "Bacterial small subunit ribosomal RNA", at positions 524 to 776 of the family's 1533-position model. The record is from RNAcentral.